GUAGGUGGCAAGCGUUGUCCGGGAAUUAUUGGGGCGUAAAGCGCGCGCAGGCGGUUCUUUAAGUCUGAUGUGAAAGCCCACGGGCUCAACCGUGGAGGGUCAUUGGAAACUGGAGAACUUGAGUACAGAAGAGGAAAGCGGAAUUCCACGUGUAGCGGUGAAAUGCGUAGAGAUGUGGAGGAACACCAGUGGCGAAGGCGGCUUUCUGGUCUGUAACUGACGCUGAGGCGCGAAAGCGUGGGGAGCAAACAGGAUUAGAUACCCUGGUAGUCCACGCCGUAAACGAUGAGUGCUAAGUGGUUACGGGGGUUUCCGCCCCUUAGUGCUGCAGCUAACGCAUUAAGCACUCCGCCUGGGGAGUACGGCCGCAAAGGCUG
Molecule: ribosomal RNA, 377 nt
Filed under: uncultured organism
Description: partial 16S ribosomal RNA
Rfam family: Bacterial small subunit ribosomal RNA
Source: RNAcentral